RNAcentral lists this ribosomal RNA (379 nucleotides) under uncultured organism. RNAcentral's name for it is "bacterial SSU rRNA". It matches the Rfam family "Bacterial small subunit ribosomal RNA", at positions 526 to 897 of the family's 1533-position model. The record is from RNAcentral.
CGGGGGGAGCAAGCGUUGUUCGGAUUUACUGGGCGUAAAGGGCGCGUAGGCGGCCAGCGCAAGUCAGUUUGUGAAAUCUCCGGGCUAAAACUCCGGAAAGGUCAACUGAUACUGCGCGGCUAGAGUGCAGAAGGGGCAACUGGAAUUCUCGGUGUAGCGGUGAAAUGCGUAGAUAUCGAGAGGAACACCUGCGGCGAAGGCGGGUUGCUGGGCUGACACUGACGCUGAUGCGCGAAAGCCAGGGGAGCGAACGAGAUUAGAUACCCCGGUAGUCCUGGCCUUAAACGAUGGAUGCUUGGUGUCUGGAGUUUUAUAGUCUCCGGGUGCCGUAGCUAACGCGUUAAGCAUCCCGCCUGGGGAGUACGGGUCGCAAGACUAG